This 790-nucleotide ribosomal RNA is filed under the name uncultured soil archaeon. RNAcentral's name for it is "bacterial SSU rRNA". It matches the Rfam family "Archaeal small subunit ribosomal RNA", at positions 81 to 865 of the family's 1478-position model. The record is from RNAcentral.
CUAAUACGGUCAGUACCGUGGCAACCACCUCGGGACGGGGACACCCGGGAAACUGGGAUAAUACCCGAUAGGCGAAGACUCCUGGAACGGGUCUUCACCCAAAAGGUGUUAAGAUCAUGCUUUUUAACAUCGCCCGAGGACGGGGCCGCGGCCGAUCAGGUAGUUGGCGAGGCAACGGCUCACCAAGCCUAUAACCGGUACGGGCCGCGGGAGCGGGAGCCCGGAGAUGGGCACUGAGACAAGGGCCCAGGCCCUACGGGGCGCAGCAGUUGCGAAAACUUGUCAAUGCACGAAGGUGUGAACGGGCUACCCCGAGUGCCGUCCGCUGAGGAUGGCUUUUCUCUGCUGUAAGAAGGCGGAGGAAUAAGGAGAGGGCAAGUCUGGUGUCAGCCGCCGCGGUAAUACCAGCUCUCCGAGUGGUAGGGAUGAUUAUUGGGCCUAAAGCGUCCGUAGCCGGCCUUCCAAGUCUUUCGUUAAAUCCAGCGAUUCAAUCGUUGGACUGCGGGAGAUACUGCUAGGCUAGGGGGCGGGAGAAGCCGACGGUAUUCUUGGGGUAGGGGUAAAAUCCUAUAAUCCCAGGAAGACCACCAGUGGCGUAGGCGGUCGGCUAGCACGCGCUCGACGGUGAGGGACGAAAGCUGGGGGAGCGAACCGGAUUAGAUACCCGGGUAGUCCCAGCUGUAAACGAUGCGGGCUCGGUGUUGGAGCGGCUACGAGCCGCUUCAGUGCCGCAGGGAAGCCAUUAAGCCCGCCGCCUGGGGAUACGCCCGGCAGGCUGACUUAAAGGCCA